Long non-coding RNA from Podarcis muralis (Common wall lizard), 2937 nucleotides. Lineage: Eukaryota; Metazoa; Chordata; Lepidosauria; Squamata; Lacertidae. The record is from Ensembl.
CUACUAAGCACUUAGCAACUUUAUCUUUAUGUUAGCUACAGCUUUCAAACCACUUGCAAGGGUAGCCCCACAUACAGCACAUUAACAGUGCCUCUAAUCAUGAGGUCACCAAAGUAUGAACCACAAGGCUAUCUCUGUCCAUGAAUAGCUGUAGUUGGCAUACCAACCAAAGAUAGAAAUGGGUGCUCCAAGCUACUGAGGUCACCUGACUUCUGGUGAGAUGGAUGCAUCUAGGAGCAACCCCAAACAAUGUACCUGCUCCUUCAAAGGAAAUGCAACCUCAUUCAGAGUUCAUAUACAACCCAGUUCACGCACUUUGGAACCACCUAUCCAUAGGCGCAAAAUGAAAGGUAGAGAGAAGGAAACAGCUUGCACGUGCAUGUCUUCCUCAAAGAAAGAACAACAAUUCCCUGUGGUUUGAUGUACAAAGAACUAGACUCCAUCCUGGUAAACAGGCCAACGAGCUAGGCUUGACUAGGCCUCUGCAUUCUCUAACUUCCUUUACCUAAUAGAAGUUGCUGUCGACAAGCAACUUCCAAGCCACAGCCCAGCCUCAUGUCAGAGGAGAGUGAACAAUUAAAGAGACAAAGUACUGAAAAAUGCAUAACAAAAGCCCUGCAAAUGGGCACCAGGAGCUCCAGGAAUGAAGCUGGCACAUGCUAAUGAUGAACAUGUUUUUGGUUAAUCUUUAAUGGGUCACAACUAAAGUGAUGGAUCGGAGAUGGUGUCAGCUGGGAGGCACACCCGUUGAGGGAGAAGGCCUUUUCAUUCGAUAUGACAGCCCCCAGCCUCUUUGUGCUCUUUUCCUCAAGUUAAUUUCUCCAAUUCAACAAGCUUUCAAGGGACAUGGUUAAAAUUGAAUUUUGAGGUUUAUGUCACUCCUUAUCCAGGCAGGCUCCUCACAGCCAGAAAGGCAGCACAGGAGCUCCAAGGAAACCCUGACAGAAGACAAGAUUUCCUCGGUCACAUGGAACUUCACAUCCAAAAGAAACAGCUGCUUACCCAUCUGGACACAAGACCUGGCUUUCAUCUCUUAUAGAGUUUUCCUCUACAUCCUAAGUGACAAAUCAAGCAACAAAAUAUCCUCAUUGAAUUAUGCAUGUAGCCAACAGCAGCGGUGACGACUUGAUACCAAAAACCCAGAGGAGGAAAAUGUCACGAGAGUUGGAGAUUAGUAAGGGGACUUAGAAAAAGUACCCAUUUUUAAAAAAUUGACUGCGGAGCUCUAUGUCGCCAAGCAAUAAUUUAAUCAUUUGCUUCCUCCUCACCCACAACCCGGCUUCUUUUUAGUGACAUGAAAAAUCCUGAUAAUGUUGCAGAAACAUGGAUUGCUCCCCACAGCCCGUGCCAGAUCCUAGGGCCCUACAUCUCUCUGUGUGGAAAGGCCGCCAUGAAGGGAAAUGGCAUCUUGCAAAGCCCUUUCCCCUCUGACUGCUGGCCUUAGUAAUGUUCUCUCUGUGCCAGCAGCCCAAGCAGGCACCCAGGAGAACAACCCAACACCUGUUGCAGGUGGAAAGCCCUAAGGAAAUCAGGCUCACAGUGGGACUGCUGUUCCUCUAUAAUUAUUACAAUUUUAAUCAUUUCUUUUUAAUAAUAAUAAUAAAAUCUUUCCCUUAAGCCAUCUUGCACUGCAGAAGCUACCGCUGCUGCUGCCAUGGUUACGGUUCCAAGCUAGCCAAUGCUAGCAGCAAAACCACAGUCUCCUGAUAGUGUUGAACCUGUGAGCUGUGCCAUCAUGCAAGCGCCAGCCACUGUGCUGGCAAACCGGCUGGCAUUGCUCUUCUGCUAUAUAUUUUCCUGCAUUUAAACUUGAGAGAUUGUGAGAAGCAAAAUCUCUCAUUAGCAAAGGGCUCAUUUCGUGUGAUCAGACUGCAAUCUCCGCCCCACCUAUAUUUAAUUAUUGAUUUAUUGAUUUAGGCUGAAUAUCUUUGCCUUUAAGAUCUGCAUGAGAGGCAACAGCUUUUGAGAGAAAGACUAAGCUUUUCCAAUCACUACAUCUCCAAGCUGUUGAUCCCGUCCCUCUCACCUGUUGAUUUCUAUGAACUUAUUAAAAACAAGGAGAUCAAGAUGGAUACAAACCAAAAGUGGGAUGGAGUAAAUCCUGAAAAGAAAAGACAUGUGCAGGGGUCAGCAACCUUUUUCAGCCGUCCACUGUCCCUCAGACCAUGUGGUGGGCCGGACUAUAUUUUGAAAAAAUAAUGAACUAAUUCCUAUGCCUCACAAAUAACCCACAGAUACAUUUUAAAUAAAAGGACACAUACUACUCAUGUAAAAACAUGCUGAUUCCUAGACAGUCCGCAGGCCGGACUGAGAAGGCAAUUGGGCCACAUCCGGCCCCCGGGCCUUAGGUUGCCUACCCCUGGACAUGUGUAUGGAGUUGUGGUGGUAGAAUGUGGAAUAAUUUAAAUAUGUUUAAAAUGACAAUGUGCUGAAUUAAUUAAUUAAUUUUUGAGGUUGGCGACUGUUGUUUUUGUUUGCUCUAACACACCAGGAAUAUAGAAGCCAUUCCAAAGCAUGGAAUGGUGGCAUCUAUCAGCUGCCAGCCAUGAGCCAGAUAUUUGCCAGCAAUAUGCUACAUGUUCCUUCCCUUUUUAUAUCUUAGUAACCUGCCUUUCACUCAUGAAAAUUCUGUUCAUGGUUUGAAAACCAUGCCUGACUUUAAGGAGGCUCUUUGUGACAUCCAUACUUAAGCAGAGGCACCUGCCAUUAAAUAAAAUUGCAGUAAUGUUGUCUCUGUUUUCCAAUACAUGAACAUUUAACAUAAAUCUUUGUAAGUAUCAAUUUUUACAACACACACACACACACAUUUUCAGGCUUAAUGACUCAUCAAUGCCAAGCUAAUAAAUAAAAUAAUUUUGGUUAAAAUGAAUAAUACAACUGUUAUCGGGAACAUUAAUAUUUCAGGAGAAGCAAGAGGGGAGCUCAGGAAGACGAAGA